GACGAACGCUGGCGGCGUGCUUAACACAUGCAAGUCGAACGGAAAGGCCCUGCUUUUGUGGGGUGCUCGAGUGGCGAACGGGUGAGUAACACGUGAGUAACCUGCCCUUGACUUUGGGAUAACUUCAGGAAACUGGGGCUAAUACCGGAUAGGAGCUCCUGCUGCAUGGUGGGGGUUGGAAAGUUUCGGCGGUUGGGGAUGGACUCGCGGCUUAUCAGCUUGUUGGUGGGGUAGUGGCUUACCAAGGCUUUGACGGGUAGCCGGCCUGAGAGGGUGACCGGCCACAUUGGGACUGAGAUACGGCCCAGACUCCUACGGGAGGCAGCAGUGGGGAAUAUUGCACAAUGGGCGGAAGCCUGAUGCAGCAACGCCGCGUGCGGGAUGACGGCCUUCGGGUUGUAAACCGCUUUCGCCUGUGACGAAGCGUGAGUGACGGUAAUGGGUAAAGAAGCACCGGCUAACUACGUGCCAGCAGCCGCGGUGAUACGUAGGGUGCGAGCGUUGUCCGGAUUUAUUGGGCGUAAAGGGCUCGUAGGUGGUUGAUCGCGUCGGAAGUGUAAUCUUGGGGCUUAACCCUGAGCGUGCUUUCGAUACGGGUUGACUUGAGGAAGGUAGGGGAGAAUGGAAUUCCUGGUGGAGCGGUGGAAUGCGCAGAUAUCAGGAGGAACACCAGUGGCGAAGGCGGUUCUCUGGGCCUUUCCUGACGCUGAGGAGCGAAAGCGUGGGGAGCGAACAGGCUUAGAUACCCUGGUAGUCCACGCUGUAAACGGUGGGUACUAGGUGUGGGGUCCAUUCCACGGGUUCCGUGCCGUAGCUAACGCUUUAAGUACCCCGCCUGGGGAGUACGGCCGCAAGGCUAAAACUCAAAGGAAUUGACGGGGCCCCGCACAAGCGGCGGAGCAUGCGGAUUAAUUCGAUGCAACGCGUAGAACCUUACCUGGGUUUGACAUGGAUCGGGAGUGCUCAGAGAUGGGUGUGCCUCUUUUGGGGUCGGUUCACAGGUGGUGCAUGCCUGUCGUCAGCUCGUGUCGUGAGAUGUUGGGUUAAGUCCCGCAACGAGCGCAACCCUUGUACACUGUUGCCAGCACGUUAUGGUGGGGACUCAGUGGAGACCGCCGGGGUCAACUCGGAGGAAGGUGGGGAUGACGUCAAGUCCUCAUGCCCCUUAUGUCCAGGGCUUCACGCAUGCUACAAUGGCUGGUACAGAGAGUGGCGAGCCUGUGAGGGUGAGCGAAUCUCGGAAAGCCGGUCUCAGUUCGGAUUGGGGUCUGCAACUCGACCUCAUGAAGUCGGAGUCGCUAGUGAUCGCAGAUCAGCAACGCUGCGGUGAAUACGUUCCCGGGGCU
RNAcentral lists this ribosomal RNA (1346 nucleotides) under uncultured bacterium. RNAcentral describes it as "bacterial SSU rRNA". It matches the Rfam family "Bacterial small subunit ribosomal RNA", at positions 28 to 1381 of the family's 1533-position model. The record is from RNAcentral.